Molecule: ribosomal RNA, 419 nt
Filed under: bacterium
Lineage: Bacteria
Description: partial 16S ribosomal RNA
Rfam family: Bacterial small subunit ribosomal RNA
Source: RNAcentral
UGGGGGAUAUUGCACAAUGGGCGAAAGCCUGAUGCAGCGACGCCGCGUGGGGGAUGAAGGCCUUCGGGUUGUAAACUUCUUUUGCUCUGAACAAGGCAUGCUAAUGUGUGUGUUGUGUGUAUGGGUUGUUUAUCGCCGGCUAACUACGUGCCAGCAGCCGCGGUAAGCCGUAGUGCGCGAGCGUUUUCCGGAAUUUUUGGGCGUAAAGGGCUUGUAGGUGGCUGGUUGCGUCUGUCGUGAAAGCUCAUGGCUUAACUGUGGGUUUGCGGUGGGUACGGGCUGGCUUGAGUGCAGUAGGAGAGGCUGGAAUUCCUGGUGGAGAGGUGGAAUGCGCAGAUAUCAGGAGGAAUACCGGUGGCGAAAGCGGGUCUCUGGGCUGUUACUGACACUGAGGAGCGAAAGAGUGGGGAGCGAACAGG